RNAcentral lists this ribosomal RNA (465 nucleotides) under uncultured bacterium. RNAcentral's name for it is "partial 16S ribosomal RNA". It matches the Rfam family "Bacterial small subunit ribosomal RNA", at positions 338 to 795 of the family's 1533-position model. The record is from RNAcentral.
CCUACGGGUGGCAGCAGUGGGGAAUAUUGCGCAAUGGGCGAAAGCCUGACGCAGCGACGCCGCGUGAGGGAUGAAGGUCUUCGGAUCGUAAACCUCUGUCAGCAGGGAAGAACGGUCACUGUGCUAAUCAGCAGUGAAUUGACGGUACCUGCAAAGGAAGCACCGGCUAACUCCGUGCCAGCAGCCGCGGUAAUACGGAGGGUGCGAGCGUUAAUCGGAAUUACUGGGCGUAAAGCGCUCGUAGGCGGUAUGUCAAGUCAAGGGUGAAAUCCCCGGGCUCAACGUGGGAACUGCCUUUGAAACUGGCAAACUGGAGUGUGUGAGAGGAUAGUGGAAUUCCAGGUGUAGGGGUGAAAUGCGUAGAUAUCUGGAGGAACAUCAGUGGCGAAGGCGACUAUCUGGCACAUGACUGACGCUGAGGAGCGAAAGCGUGGGUAGCAAACAGGAUUAGAUACCCGGGUAGUC